UUCCCCAUUUCUAUCGAUCUUCCCCUCUUUUAGUUCUAAAACUAUGGGUCUCAAGUUAAGGAAUCUAUCUGAGAAGGAACAAAAGAGAAUAGUGCCAAGAAGAGGUGAAGUUAAGCGUCAGAUCUUAUGCUCUCUCUUUCGCAGCAUCGGCGAUGUCUCCAAGUCCAUCAUCUCUUAUAUCUUUUGUUCUCGCAGCACGACCACUCUCUGAUAUUCCUCGUCCUAGUCUCAUCAUCUGCAAUUGCUGACUGCUUGGAGAUAUUUUAUUUUAUUUUUUAACAUUUUCAUACAGUUCUCCAUACUUUUUUUUUUCUAUUUAUAUAAGGGUUGUUUUAAUCUGAUCAUUUGUGCUAUAGUGUCACUUCUCUUUCCUUUCUUUUCUUUUCACCUUCCUUCUUCUUCUUCUUCUUCUUCUUCUUUUGUGUGUGUGUGUGUGUGUGUGUGUGAAAGCUCUGUCCAUCAUUGUUGUUGUGUCUCACAAGCAGUCGGAUGUGGAAUUUGGUGCCAUUCGAAUAGCAAAGUUACCGAAGGAAGGGGCGACGUGAAAUGACGUUUAUUAACAUGCCAACGUUAGAGCAUAAAUGGCUAUCUUGGGCCUUAUUCCAGUGUGUUCCUCAGGUUAUGACUCACGAGUUUUGGACCUCGCUAAGCCUAGAACAGAGUUCAGGCUAACCUAAAGCAUUGGAACUUGUUCUC
RNAcentral lists this long non-coding RNA (696 nucleotides) under Elaeis guineensis (African oil palm). Its description in RNAcentral is "long non-coding RNA (EGUI_LNC021062)". Lineage: Eukaryota; Viridiplantae; Streptophyta; Magnoliopsida; Arecales; Arecaceae. The record is from RNAcentral.